This 511-nucleotide ribosomal RNA is filed under the name uncultured Prevotellaceae bacterium. RNAcentral's name for it is "bacterial SSU rRNA". It matches the Rfam family "Bacterial small subunit ribosomal RNA", at positions 8 to 507 of the family's 1533-position model. Lineage: Bacteria; Pseudomonadati; Bacteroidota; Bacteroidia; Bacteroidales; Prevotellaceae. The record is from RNAcentral.
AGAGUUUGAUCCUGGCUCGGGAUGAACGCUAGCUACAGGCUUAACACAUGCAAGUCGAGGGGCAUCAUGCGGAUUGCUUGCGAUCCGUGAUGGCGACCGGCGCACGGGUGAGUAACGCGUAUCCAACCUUCCCGCUGCUGGGGGAUAACCCGGUGAAAGCCGGACUAAUACCCCAUAAUCCCCGUUGACGGCAUCCGAUUCGGGGCAAAGUUUUUUUCGGCAGCGGAUGGGGAUGCGUCCGAUUAGUUAGUUGGUGAGGUAACGGCUCACCAAGGCUUUGAUCGGUAGGGGUUCUGAGAGGAAGGCCCCCCACAUUGGGACUGAGACACGGCCCAAACUCCUACGGGAGGCAGCAGUGAGGAAUAUUGGUCAAUGGGCGGAAGCCUGGACCAGCCAAGUAGCGUGGAGGACGACUGCCCUAUGGGUUGUAAACUCCUUUUAUGCGGGGAUAAAAUGUUUCACGUGUGAGAUAUUGCAGGUACCGCAUGAAUAAGGACCGGCUAAUUCCGUG